AACAGAGCCCCCAAGCGUUAUCCGGAUUUAUUGGGCGUAAAGGGUCUGUAGCCGGUCUGGCAAGUCUUGGGUUAAAUACCUCGGGCUCAACCUGAGGAAUGCCUAAGAAACUGCCAAACUAGAGGACGUUAGAGGCUGAUGGAACGCACGGUGGAGGGGUGAAAUCCGUUGAUAUCGUGCGGAACACCAAAAGCGAAGGCAUUCAGCUGGGGCGAUCCUGACGGUGAGAGACGAAAGCGUGGGGCGCAAAGAGG
This 254-nucleotide unclassified non-coding RNA is filed under the name uncultured Parcubacteria group bacterium. RNAcentral describes it as "contains 16S-23S intergenic spacer region". It matches the Rfam family "Bacterial small subunit ribosomal RNA", at positions 524 to 776 of the family's 1533-position model. The record is from RNAcentral.